CUCCACUGGGCUAAUUGUGUAACCACCAGGCCAGAAGGACACACCGGGGGAGAGGAGAGCAAGAGGGAGGCCCCGACACCGGCCCCAUGUGUCAUCCGGCCGACACUACCGAAGAUUACAUCACCGUGUCCUCCACAUGCCUCAGGCUGGACCCGCCGUGCAGGGAAUGCAGCUCCAACACGUUGUUCUUUUAUUCCUCUGCAGAGUGAAGAAACUUACCAUCUUACAUACUGCAUGCUUAUUAAAAUAAGAAAUAAUGAUUUGUCAAUAUUCUGUGACAGUAACACAAGCAAAGAAGAUGAAGAUGAUGAGGUAAUGUCAGCUACAAGGCCCCAUGCCUGAGCUAACGUUAGCCAUGAGCUACCGGUCAUACCUGACCCAGUUCGUCAUGGCAACGAAACCCACAGUGUGUUGAAUUGAGCAAUCAUGGGUUUUAUUCUUCAUGAAAUACCUUUUUAACCUAUAGGUGGAAGAAUGUUUCUUACAAAAGUGACAGUCACCCUUUAAAAAAAAGAAUAAAAUUCCCAAAUCAUAAACAUGUGUGUCAUAUCUAAGAUUGUAAACACAUUUAAUUCCGGUCUCAAUGUGAGAGAUAAAUAUGUCUUUUGAGAAUGUG
Molecule: long non-coding RNA, 616 nt
Organism: Pseudoliparis swirei
Lineage: Eukaryota; Metazoa; Chordata; Actinopteri; Perciformes; Liparidae
Exons: 2
Source: RefSeq, a predicted model, not a curated record